RNAcentral lists this ribosomal RNA (498 nucleotides) under uncultured bacterium. RNAcentral describes it as "partial 16S ribosomal RNA". It matches the Rfam family "Bacterial small subunit ribosomal RNA", at positions 28 to 523 of the family's 1533-position model. The record is from RNAcentral.
GAUGAACGCUAGCUACAGGCUUAACACAUGCAAGUCGAGGGGUAGCAGGGUAGCAAUACCGCUGACGACCGGCGCACGGGUGAGUAACACGUAUCCAACCUUCCCAUAACUCGGGGAUAGCCUUUCGAAAGAAAGAUUAAUACCUGAUAGUACUUAAGCAAGGCAUCUUUUUUAAGUUAAAGCUUUAUUGGUUAUGGAUGGGGAUGCGUUCCAUUAGAUAGGUGGUGAGGUAACGGCUCACCAAGUCUUCGAUGGAUAGGGGUUCUGAGAGGAAGGUCCCCCACAUUGGUACUGAGACACGGACCAAACUCCUACGGGAGGCAGCAGUGAGGAAUAUUGGUCAAUGGGCGAGAGCCUGAACCAGCCAAGUAGCGUGAAGGAUGAAGGUCCUAUGGAUUGUAAACUUCUUUUAUAGUAGAAUAAAGUGAACCACGUGUGGUUUUUUGUAUGUAUACUAUGAAUAAGGAUCGGCUAACUCCGUGCCAGCAGCCGCGGUAA